AGGAUGAAGCAGGAUCUGGGGUCUGGAAUGGGGGAGUCACAAUAAUCCCUCUGCUCCAGGGGAAGAUGGAAUUGAGGGUAAAGGGCUUGGAGGGUAAUGCAGAGAGAGAGAAAAGGAGAAACGGGGGGACCCAGCAGAAAGCGAGGGUGAGGGAAGGGGGAGGGAGGGAGACUGAGACAUAAAGAGAACAGUGGUGGCAAAGGCCUGGGACAGUCAGGAGGAAGGUGGAGCCUCUCACUGACAGCAGAAACCCAUCUGGCUUGGCAGACACCUGCUUCUCACGAAGAGGUGAGGCUGCAGCGCUGUUCCAUGCAACACCUCCCCACCCACCCCCAGCCACCAGACAGAGACUGUGGGCAGAGCUUGGCCUUCUCCCAACCCUGAGGGGCUACCAGGAGGUACAGGUGGGAGCACCAGGCUAGAGAUGGAGGGAGGAGAGAAGCUCUGGCAGAGAAUGCUGACCAAGAGGAGGCAGGGCAAGCAGGCUGUGCUGACCUCAGCCCAGGGAACCUCUCGGGGGAGACAAGAAGACAGGUGGCCAGUGGGCCUGGGGAGGUGGUAUUGUCUUCAGGGGCCUCUGGGAGAGCAGGCCAAGCAGGACAGAAGGCGGCACAGCUGCUGAGGGUUGUAGAAGCUGAGAGAAGAGAGGUGAGAGCUGCGGAUCAGGAAGACUCAAGGGAGGAGAGGAGAAAUUUGGAUACAGAAGGAAGACAAGGUGAAGACACAGGGAGAACAUAAAAUGGAGAUGAAAGCAGCUGGUGGAGCCGUGCAUCUGCAAGCACCAGAGAUCGCCAGCAAGCAACAGAUCCUAGUAGAGAGGCCUGGAACAGAUCCUCCCCUGCAGAAACCAACCCUGCUGACACCUUGAUUUCAACCUCAGCCUCCAGAACUAGAUGAGGUCUCCCUUUGUCACUCGGGUUGGAGCAUAGUGGUGCUUCAUAGCUCACUGCAGCCUCAACUUCCUGGACCCAAAGGAUCCUCCUGUCUCAGCCUCCCAAGUAAAGGCUUGGAGGAAAGCAGACCUCAGAAGCCUGGAGGAAAGAGAGAAGCUGCCUAAACCUUGGCCAAGCCAAAGCAGACGGCCUCACAAGAUCAAGAUCCUCUCUUGCUUCUCUAGAGAAUGUGCUCCAUCAAAAAGAGAGAAUAAACCAAGAAGAGGAAGACAGAGGAUCCGGAAACAGGGAUGAUGGUGCACGGAAGUCCCAGGAUGACAGCUGUGCAUCAGGCCUUCAGCAGCCAGGAUGGGAGCAGAAGGAUGGGGAGCUCUGGGAGUGUCUCCAAGAAAGAAAAAGAAACUGAUCAAAUAUCUAAUUUUUAAAACAUAUUGAGGGGAAAUUUAUACUUCUGCAAUAAAUUUUAGGAUAUCGUAAUAGAAACUAAGAAAAUAACAAAUAAAAAAACAAAAAAACAAAAAACAAGGUAAUUAUCAACCGCGGGAGAAGAAAGGUUGUAUGAGAAAAGAAAUAAAAACAGAAUUCAGUACAUGGAUC
RNAcentral lists this long non-coding RNA (1490 nucleotides) under Homo sapiens (human). RNAcentral describes it as "HSALNT0382260". Lineage: Eukaryota; Metazoa; Chordata; Mammalia; Primates; Hominidae. The record is from RNAcentral.